Molecule: long non-coding RNA, 773 nt
Filed under: Carica papaya (papaya)
Lineage: Eukaryota; Viridiplantae; Streptophyta; Magnoliopsida; Brassicales; Caricaceae
Description: long non-coding RNA (CPAP_LNC009964)
Source: RNAcentral
AUUGAGCCAUAAGUGACCCAAAUGGACUCAAAUGAAGCCCAAACAAAAACCAUGUGAUAGCUGCCUGCAUGAGGAACACAUGAAGCAUAAGUUUGCCCAAAAAGAUUAAGAAUUGAGCAAGUUAUGGAGUUUUGAAGUGAAGGUAUGUGCAUGAAGUGCAGUUUUAGGCCUUACGGGUUUAGUUGGGCCUAACGUGGUCCAAAACAACUUGAAUAGGGUCCAAAUCUGGUGUGGAAGCUCCUAAAAGGAGGAUAAGGAUGUGUGUGGUGUUUGGAUAAAGAUGGGAUACUCUAUAAUUACUUAGGGGUGAAAGAAGAGGGAAAAAAGAGAAAAAUGGAUAAGCUUGAGAAUUGAGGUGGCAACCUCACCAUUUGCCACCUCAACCCCACUUGGCCGACCCUUUGGGCUUCCCUCCCCUAUAAAUAGGGGUGAAGAGAUGGGAAAUGCAUUCUGCAGUGAAGGGGAGCAAAGUUAGAAGGAGAAAGAAGAGAGAGAGAGAAUAGAAAAAAGAGAGAAAAAGGUGCCUACGUAAGAGAAGUGAGGGAAUUUGAGGGAAUUUGGGAGUCUUUCCUAAAGGAAACUUUGCCCAAAUUGUGAGAAGAAGGGAAAGGAAGGAAGAAACCAAAAGAAAAGAGAUAAAAAGAGGGAGAAAGCUCAUAACCAUCACAAGGGAACCUGCGAGCUUAAGAUAAGUUUUCUCCAUCAAUUGUAUUCCAUUUCUCUUAAACUUUUGAUAUUAGUUUCUAAAUGUUGUGAGGGAUAUUUUUGGUGUU